This 253-nucleotide ribosomal RNA is filed under the name uncultured bacterium. Its description in RNAcentral is "partial 16S ribosomal RNA". It matches the Rfam family "Bacterial small subunit ribosomal RNA", at positions 524 to 776 of the family's 1533-position model. The record is from RNAcentral.
UACGAAGGGGGCUAGCGUUGUUCGGAAUUACUGGGCGUAAAGCGUGCGCAGGCGGCUUCUCAAGUCAGGGGUGAAAGCCCAGAGCUCAACUCUGGAAUUGCCUUUGAGACUGAGUGGCUUGAGUACGGGAGAGGUGAGUGGAAUUCCCAGUGUAGAGGUGAAAUUCGUAGAUAUUGGGAAGAACCCCGGUGGCGAAGGCGGCUCACUGGCCCGUAACUGACGCUCAUGCACGACAGCGUGGGGAUCAAACAGG